GUCUCUGUGGCGUAGUGGGAGAGUGACGGACUCUCACUGGGGAGAUCUGGGUUCGAAUCUCGGGUGAGACA
Henosepilachna vigintioctopunctata is the source of this 71-nucleotide non-coding RNA. The record is from the annotation of a GenBank genome assembly. Lineage: Eukaryota; Metazoa; Arthropoda; Insecta; Coleoptera; Coccinellidae.